RNAcentral lists this ribosomal RNA (1157 nucleotides) under human gut metagenome. Its description in RNAcentral is "bacterial LSU rRNA". It matches the Rfam family "Bacterial large subunit ribosomal RNA", at positions 1287 to 2495 of the family's 2925-position model. The record is from RNAcentral.
AGAGAGAAUGCUGGAAUAAGUAGCGAGAGGAUGGUGAGAAUCCAUCCCGUCGAAAAUCUAAGGUUUCCCAGGGAAGGUUCGUCCGCCUGGGGUAAGUCGGGACCUAAGGAGAGGCCGAAAGGCGUAUCUGAUGGAUAGCAGGUUGAAAUUCCUGCACUACGAAUAUACUUAAAAGAUUCAAGGGACGCAGAAGUGGAAGAUAACCAAGUAAGAGGAAAAGCUUGGCUCGCAAGAGGGAGUGAAAAUUAAAAGUAACGAAGUAUCAAGAAGCACGCUGACGAGAAAAGCUUGAAGAUAUUGUAUAUAAGUACCCGUACCGCAAACCGACACAGGUAGAUGAGGAGAGGAUCCUAAGACGAGCGGGAGAAGCAUUGUUAAGGAACUCGGCAAAUUAACCCCGUAACUUCGGAAUAAGGGGUGCUGAUGUAACAGUCAGUCGCAGAGAAAAGGCCCAAGCAACUGUUUAACAAAAACAUAGGUUUCUGCUAAAUCGAAAGAUGAAGUAUAGGAGCUGACGCCUGCCCAGUGCUGGAAGGUUAAGGGGAAAGGUUAGAUUAUAUCAAAGCUUUGAACUGAAGCCCCAGUGAACGGCGGCCGUAACUAUAACGGUCCUAAGGUAGCGAAAUUCCUUGUCAGGUAAGUUCUGACCCGCACGAAAGGCGUAAUGAUUUGGGCACUGUCUCGACAAUGUCCCCGGCGAAAUUGUAGUACUAGUGAAGAUGCUAGUUACCUGCGAUAAGACAGAAAGACCCCAUGGAGCUUUACUGCAGUUUGAUACUGGGUUUCGAUGAUUUAUGUACAGGAUAGUUGGGAGACUAUGAAAGAGAGGCGUCAGCUUCUCCGGAGUCAUUGUUGGGAUACCAACCUUAAGUUAUUGAAAUUCUAACUUGUAAUCGUAAACCGGUUAGAGGACAAUGUCAGACGGGCAGUUUGACUGGGGCGGUCGCCUCCUAAAGAGUAACGGAGGCGCCCAAAGGUUUCCUCAGCGCGGACAGAAAUCGCGCGAAAGAGUGCAAAGGCAGAAGGAAGCUUAACUGAGAGACAGACAUGUCGACCAGAUACGAAAGUAGGGCUUAGUGAUCCGGUGGUUGUAAAUGGAAAUGCCAUCGCUCAACGGACAAAAGUUACCCUGGGGAUAACAGGCUUAUCUCCCCCAA